Molecule: non-coding RNA, 2027 nt
Organism: Oncorhynchus mykiss (rainbow trout)
Lineage: Eukaryota; Metazoa; Chordata; Actinopteri; Salmoniformes; Salmonidae
Source: RefSeq, a predicted model, not a curated record
AAAAGUGCAAAUCAAUCCCAGAACAACAGCAAAGGACCUUGUGAAGAUGCUGGAGGAAACAGGCAUGAGUACUCUCAAAAUGGCUGCCAGUCCAGUCAUUAUGCCAUCAUGGAUUUGAAUGGGGACAUCCGUUCUAUUCAUUCCAUUUCUAUGGUUCAAACAGCCUGGAAUAGACAACCACUCCAAUCCCCACCCCUCUUCCCCCAAACCCCCUAAAGAAACUCAUUCUGUAAAAAAAGGAACCUGGGCCAACAUCCAGAGAGUGCAUCUCAAAACAAAGCGACGUGCCAUUCUGGGGGUGUUUCAUCCCCCUGCUCGAAGCAGAGAGAAGUGGCUGUGUUCCCUGCAGUAACUCCCACUGAACUGCUCACUGAGUCAGAGCUCAUAGUAUGACAGGCAUGCCAGCUAGGUUUAUUUGAUCACUUGCAGGAUGGGGAGAGAAUGGCUGGCUUUGCCACACACAGAGCCCUCUGCAGCACGGAAGAGAAGAGGCAAGCUUUUCCUUCGCCUGUGGCCAAACACAUUAGGUUUUUAUGUUCCCGCACAUCUUGUCAACACCAUGAAAUCACUUCAGUUGAAAACAGUGCUCAGCAAUACAAAAGGGGUUAUGUUAGGCAAAACCUUGCUGAAAACUCAUCAUAACAUGUAUAUACAGUUGCUGUAAUGGCUUUGACUUACUGUGUCUCAAGAAUGGAUACAUGUAUUUCAUUAUACAAUCUAUUGACAAUGUUAUACAGCUGAAAUAAAAUGUCAUGUCAAGUCAACAGCAAUUUUGCCAUUGGAUGCAUUGGUAAGAUUGUAUCCUUAGAAGUAAUAAUACUACAAUAAACUAUACUACACAUCUAGAUUUGGUCUGAGGUUUUCAAAGCAUUCUCAUUCUGACACAAGGUUGGUUAUCCAAUACUUUGAGGCUGGAGCCUAAGGACAGUCCAUAGUUCUGCUCAACACCACAUGAGUUGGGGUAUACUGGACCUAGUACAGUUUUAAAAUAUUUAAACUGAUGUUCUGUUAGGUAUGAGGGAAUCCAAUGCAGCUCACAUACGCUUGCUGCUUUAUUAUUUAAGAGUGCAGUACUGACAUCUAGUGCUAAAAUGUGAAAGUAAUUCCCUUAGAGGACUGACAAUGCCGUUGUGUACUGAUAUUGCGUUGACAGAGUAUUAUGUGAAGGCAAAUAUACAUUUGGGCCCAAAAUAUACAAGACACAGAAAUGAAAUGAGCUUGUGGUUAGAGCGUUGGGUUAUUAACCGAAAGGUCGCUGGUUCGAAUACCCGACAAGGUUAAAAAUCUAUCGAUGUACACUUGCGCAAGACAUUUGCUCCAGGGUGCUGCACUACAUGGAGACAUGGAAUCACUGGUCACUUUAAUAAUGGAACACUAGUCACCUUAAUAAUGUUUACAUACUGCUUUACUCAUUUCAUAUGUAUAUACUGUAUUCUAUUCUACUGUAUUUUAGUCAAUGCCACUCCUACAUUGCUCGUCCUAAUAUUUAUAUAUUAACUCCAUUCUUUACUUUAGAUUUGUGGGUAUUGUUGUGAAUUGUUAUAUAUUACUGCACUGUUGGAGCUAGGAACACAAGCAUUUUGCUAUACCUGCAAUAAUAUCUACUAAAUAUUUGUAUGUGACCAAUAAAAUGAUAUUUGAUUAGACUUUUACUAUGGCUGACCCUGUAAAACAUUUCACGCAGGUUAGCGUUUUUCUUAAUGAAUCUUGUUCUGGAGGCAGCUCUGCAGAGAGGUCAAAUAAAAUCUGAUUUUAUACCUAACCCGAACCUUAAAUUUAGACCAAAAAGCACAUUUUGUUGUCAUACAUUUUUACAAUAUAGCCAAUUCUGAGCUUGCAGCUUGCCAAUCUAAGGGAAAAUCAAAAAAUACUGUAUCCAGGACAAGACUCGUGACAAAAACGGCAACCUGCACAUUUCACUGCACCUAUCUGGUGUAUGUGACAAUAAUAUAUAUUUGUUUUACAGCUUAUAUUUUGACACAUGAAUGAAAAUGCAAAGAGUAACUGAUACCAUAAACAGAAAUAAA